CGGUUAAUCCUGCCGGACCCCACCGCUAUCGGGAUGGGACUAAGACAUGCUAGUCGUGCGUCUCCAAGCCAUGGUGGAGCCGCGGCGCACAGCUCAGUAACACGUGGCUAACCUGCCCUUGGGACACGGACAACCCCGGGACACUGGGGCUAAUCCGUGAUAGGUGAGAACUCCUGGAAUGGGUUCUCGCCGAAAGGGCGCCUAGACCACGCUUCUAGGCGCCGCCCAAGGAAGGGGCCGCGGCCGAUCAGGUUGUUGGUGAGGUAACGGCUCACCAAACCUUUAACCGGUACGGGCCGUAAGAGCGGGAGCCCGGAGAUGGGCACUGAGAUAAGGGCCCAGGCCCUACGGGGCGCAGCAGUCGCGAAAACUCCGCAAUACACGAAAGUGUGACGGGGCCAUCCCGAGUGCCGUCCGCUGAGGAUGGCUUUUCCCCAGUGUAUAAAGCUGGGGGAAUAAGGAGAGGGCAAGACUGGUGUCAGCCGCCGCGGUAAUACCAGCUCUCCGAGUGGUGGGGACGCUUAUUGGGCCUAAAGCAUUCGUAGCCUGUUGGGCAAGUCCCCCGCUAAAUCCAACGAUUCAAUCGUUGGGCUGCGGGGGAUACUGUCCAACUAGGGGGCGGGAGAGGCCGACGGUAUUCUCGGGGUAGGGGUGAAAUCCUAUAAUCCCGGGAGGACCACCAGUGGCGAAGGCUGUCGGCUAGAACGCGCCCGACGGUGAGGGAUGAAAGCUGGGGGAGCGAACCGGAUUAGGUACCCGGGUAGUCCCAGCUGUAAACGAUGCAGGCUAGGUGUUGAAGCGGCUACGUGCCGCUUCAGUACCGCAGGGAAGCCGUUAAGCCUGCCGCCUGGGAAGUACGGCCGCAAGGCUGAAACUUAAAGGAAUUGGCGGGGGAGCAC
Molecule: ribosomal RNA, 899 nt
Filed under: uncultured archaeon
Lineage: Archaea
Description: bacterial SSU rRNA
Rfam family: Archaeal small subunit ribosomal RNA
Source: RNAcentral